This 497-nucleotide ribosomal RNA is filed under the name uncultured bacterium. RNAcentral describes it as "partial 16S ribosomal RNA". It matches the Rfam family "Bacterial small subunit ribosomal RNA", at positions 28 to 507 of the family's 1533-position model. The record is from RNAcentral.
GAUGAACGCUGGCGGCGUGCCUAAUACAUGCAAGUCGAGCGAACAGAUAAGGAGCUUGCUCCUUUGACGUUAGCGGCGGACGGGUGAGUAACACGUGGGUAACCUACCUAUAAGACUGGGAUAACUUCGGGAAACCGGAGCUAAUACCGGAUAACAUUUGGAACCGCAUGGUUCUAAAGUGAAAGAUGGUUUUGCUAUCACUUAUAGAUGGACCCGCGCCGUAUUAGCUAGUUGGUAAGGUAACGGCUUACCAAGGCAACGAUACGUAGCCGACCUGAGAGCGUGGUCGGCCACACUGGAACUGAGACACGGUCCAGACUCCUACGGGAGGCAGCAGUAGGGAAUCUUACGCAAUGGGGGAAAGCCUGACGGAGCAACGCGGCGUGAGUGAUGAAGGGUUUCGGCUCGGAAAACUCUGUUAUUAGGGAAGAACAAACGUGUAAGUAACUGUGCACGUCUUGACGGUACCUAAUCAGAAAGCCACGGCUAACUACGUG